Molecule: ribosomal RNA, 774 nt
Filed under: Pegosomum asperum
Lineage: Eukaryota; Metazoa; Platyhelminthes; Trematoda; Plagiorchiida; Echinostomatidae
Description: eukaryotic LSU rRNA
Rfam family: Eukaryotic large subunit ribosomal RNA (bases 534-774)
Source: RNAcentral
CAACUGUGUGAAUUAAUGCAAACUGCAUACUGCUUUGAACAUCGACAUCUUGAACGCAUAUUGCGGCCAUGGGUUAGCCUGUGGCCACGCCUGUCCGAGGGUCGGCUUAUAAACUAUCACGACGCCCAAAUAGUCGUGGCUUGGGUUUUGCCAGCUGGCGUGAUUUCCUCUGUGAGCUCUCAUAAGAGGUGCCAGAUCUAUGGCGUUUCCCUAAUGUUUCCGGAUGCAUCCUUGUCUGGCAGAAAGCCAUGAUGAGGUGCAGUGACGGAGUCGUGGUUUAAUGUGGCUAUGCCCCGUUUUCAGCGUGUUUGGCCAUUUAGUCGGCACGCUUAUGACUACGGGUGGAGCUAUGCUCGGGUUGGUGCUCGACUAUCAGUGAGUUUGGCGAUUCCAGUCGGCUCACUUAUGAUUUUCGGGGUAAUUCCAUACCAUGCACGUUUCGUUACUGUUGCCUCGUUGCUGGUUCGAUGUUGGCUUGGGUCCAUGUGUCCGACGAAUGCCUCAUUGCAGACUGUCUCGUACAGACUGCUUCCUGACCUCGGUUCAGACGUGAUUACCCGCUGAACUUAAGCAUAUCACUAAGCGGAGGAAAAGAAACUAACCAGGAUUCCCUCAGUAACGGCGAGUGAAGAGGGAAGAGCCCAGCACCGAAGCCUGUGGCUGUUUGGCCCCUAGGCAAUGUGGUGUUCAGGUUGGCUCGCGGGGAUACUGCUCCAUCCUAAGUCCUAUAAUGAGUAAGGUUACUCGGACAUGGCCCAAUGAGGGUGAAAGGCC